Molecule: ribosomal RNA, 429 nt
Filed under: Chloroflexota bacterium
Lineage: Bacteria; Bacillati; Chloroflexota
Description: Chloroflexi bacterium partial 16S ribosomal RNA
Rfam family: Bacterial small subunit ribosomal RNA
Source: RNAcentral
UGGGGAAUAUUGCACAAUGGGCGCAAGCCUGAUGCAGCCAUGCCGCGUGUAUGAAGAAGGCCUUCGGGUUGUAAAGUACUUUCAGCGGGGAGGAAGGGAGUAAAGUUAAUACCUUUGCUCAUUGACGUUACCCGCAGAAGAAGCACCGGCUAACUCCGUGCCAGCAGCCGCGGUAAUACGGAGGGUGCAAGCGUUAAUCGGAAUUACUGGGCGUAAAGCGCACGCAGGCGGUCUGUCAAGUCGGAUGUGAGAUCCCCGGGCUCAACCUGGGAACUGCAUUCGAAACUGGCAGGCUAGAGUCUUGUAGAGGGGGGUAGAAUUCCAGGUGUAGCGGUGAAAUGCGUAGAGAUCUGGAGGAAUACCGGUGGCGAAGGCGGCCCCCUGGACAAAGACUGACGCUCAGGUGCGAAAGCGUGGGGAGCAAACAGG